UGAUAUGAACCGUUAUAACCGGCGAUUUCCGAAUGGGGAAACCCAGUGUGAUUCGUCACACUAUCAUUAACUGAAUCCAUAGGUUAAUGAGGCGAACCGGGGGAACUGAAACAUCUAAGUACCCCGAGGAAAAGAAAUCAACCGAGAUUCCCCCAGUAGCGGCGAGCGAACGGGGAGCAGCCCAGAGCCUGAAUCAGUAUGUGUGUUAGUGGAAGCGUCUGGAAAGGCGCGCGAUACAGGGUGACAGCCCCGUACACAAAAAUGCACAUGCUGUGAGCUCGAUGAGUAGGGCGGGACACGUGGUAUCCUGUCUGAAUAUGGGGGGACCAUCCUCCAAGGCUAAAUACUCCUGACUGACCGAUAGUGAACCAGUACCGUGAGGGAAAGGCGAAAAGAACCCCGGCGAGGGGAGUGAAAAAGAACCUGAAACCGUGUACGUACAAGCAGUGGGAGCACAGAGCAAUCUGUGUGACUGCGUACCUUUUGUAUAAUGGGUCAGCGACUUAUAUUCUGUAGCAAGGUUAACCGAAUAGGGGAGCCGAAGGGAAACCGAGUCUUAACUGGGCGUUAAGUUGCAGGGUAUAGACCCGAAACCCGGUGAUCUAGCCAUGGGCAGGUUGAAGGUUGGGUAACACUAACUGGAGGACCGAACCGACUAAUGUUGAAAAAUUAGCGGAUGACUUGUGGCUGGGGGUGAAAGGCCAAUCAAACCGGGAGAUAGCUGGUUCUCCCCGAAAGCUAUUUAGGUAGCGCCUCGUGAAUUCAUCUCCGGGGGUAGAGCACUGUUUCGGCAAGGGGGUCAUCCCGACUUACCAACCCGAUGCAAACUGCGAAUACCGGAGAAUGUUAUCACGGGAGACACACGGCGGGUGCUAACGUCCGUCGUGAAGAGGGAAACAACCCAGACCGCCAGCUAAGGUCCCAAAGUCAUGGUUAAGUGGGAAACGAUGUGGGAAGGCCCAGACAGCCAGGAUGUUGGCUUAGAAGCAGCCAUCAUUUAAAGAAAGCGUAAUAGCUCACUGGUCGAGUCGGCCUGCGCGGAAGAUGUAACGGGGCUAAACCAUGCAC
RNAcentral lists this ribosomal RNA (1068 nucleotides) under Escherichia coli. Its description in RNAcentral is "partial 23S ribosomal RNA". It matches the Rfam family "Bacterial large subunit ribosomal RNA", at positions 87 to 1194 of the family's 2925-position model. Lineage: Bacteria; Pseudomonadati; Pseudomonadota; Gammaproteobacteria; Enterobacterales; Enterobacteriaceae. The record is from RNAcentral.